This 492-nucleotide ribosomal RNA is filed under the name uncultured bacterium. RNAcentral's name for it is "partial 16S ribosomal RNA". It matches the Rfam family "Bacterial small subunit ribosomal RNA", at positions 29 to 507 of the family's 1533-position model. The record is from RNAcentral.
AGUGAACGCUGGCGGUAGGCCUAACACAUGCAAGUCGAACGGCAGCACAGUAAGAGCUUGCUCUUACGGGUGGCGAGUGGCGGACGGGUGAGGAAUACAUCGGAAUCUACUUUUUCGUGGGGGAUAACGUAGGGAAACUUACGCUAAUACCGCAUACGACCUACGGGUGAAAGCAGGGGAUCUUCGGACCUUGCGCGAUUGAAUGAGCCGAUGUCGGAUUAGCUAGUUGGCGGGGUAAAGGCCGACCAAGGCGACGAUCCGUAGCUGGUCUGAGAGGAUGAUCAGCCACACUGGAACUGAGACACGGCCCAGACUCCUACGGGAGGCAGCAGUGGGGAAUAUUGGACAAUGGGCGCAAGCCUGAUCCAGCCAUACCGCGUGGGUGAAGAAGGCCUUCGGGUUGGAAAGCCCUUUUGUUGGGAAAGAAAAGCAGCAGGUUAAUACCCCGCUGUUCUGACGGUACCCAAAGAAUAAGCACCGGCUAACUUCGUG